GAUGAACGCUGGCGGCGUGCCUAAUACAUGCAAGUCGAGCGAACAGACGAGGAGCUUGCUCCUCUGACGUUAGCGGCGGACGGGUGAGUAACACGUGGAUAACCUACCUAUAAGACUGGGAUAACUUCGGGAAACCGGAGCUAAUACCGGAUAAUAUAUUGAACCGCAUGGUUCAAUAGUGAAAGACGGUUUUGCUGUCACUUAUAGAUGGAUCCGCGCCGCAUUAGCUAGUUGGUAAGGUAACGGCUUACCAAGGCAACGAUGCGUAGCCGACCUGAGAGGGGAUCCGCCACCAUGGAAAUGGAGCAAGGUCCCAGCUCCUAAGGGAGGGAGCAGUAGGGAAACUUCCGCAAUGGGGCGAAGCCUGACGGGGCCAAGGCGCGUGAGUGAUGAAGGUCUUCCGAUCGGUAAACCCUGUUAAUAGGGAAGAACAAAUGUGUAAGUAACUAUGCACGUCUUGACGGUACCUAAUCAGAAAGCCACGGCUAACUACGUG
Molecule: ribosomal RNA, 496 nt
Filed under: uncultured bacterium
Lineage: Bacteria
Description: partial 16S ribosomal RNA
Rfam family: Bacterial small subunit ribosomal RNA
Source: RNAcentral